UGUAAGCGUAUACCAAAGUUGUUGCAGUUAAAACGCUCGUAGUCGGAAUUUGGCAGUUCCGGAUGUGUGCACGUCGUGUGCGCACUUCGCGGGGAUUGCUUUUGUGGUCUUGCGUAGGAUGAGGCACUUUUAUUAGUGAACGUCCUCACGCAACCACUUUUUACUGUGAGAAAAUCAGAGUGCUCAAAGCAGGCAUUUGCCGUGAAUGUAUUAGCAUGGAAUAAUAGAAUAGGACUUGGUUCUAUUUUGUUGGUUUGUUGGGACUGAGUAAUGAUUUAGAGGGACAGUUGGGGGCAUUUGUAUUUCGGUGCUAGAGGUGAAAUUCUUAGAUUACCGAAAGACAAACUGCUGCGAAAGCGUCUGCCAAGGAUGUUUUCAUUGA
This 382-nucleotide ribosomal RNA is filed under the name uncultured eukaryote. RNAcentral describes it as "partial 18S ribosomal RNA". It matches the Rfam family "Eukaryotic small subunit ribosomal RNA", at positions 592 to 976 of the family's 1831-position model. The record is from RNAcentral.